UAUCUCUCAACCCUAUCUUGGAGAAGCCAGGGAGGGAACUUGGAAUCUUAUGCUCUUCCAAGAGUGGCUCCAUUCCCUAAGGGGAAUAUCUUACAGUGCUCACACACCACGUCUCCCAUUCCUAUGCAUCCUACCAGGGCGGACAAGUUGCUGUCACAGACAAAGAGGAUCAGAGCUGUUGCUGGACAGAGAGCUGAGAAAUCCCUGGGAGAAUGUGAGUCACUCCCAAAGCAGCUGAAGAAACAGUCGGGGAUUGAACCCCCAGAACUGUGAAGGAAGAGCAGGACCUGAGGCUGAGCAAGGGACAAGCCACGCUUGCUGCAGAAGCUGGCUAGGGAAUGGUUGUGUUCUCUGAUGAAGGAUCAUCCGAAAUGGGCUCAAGAAUCCCGGGUUAGCCUAUAAGGACUCUUUCAUAGGACUUUUUCCAGCUUGGCAAGACUUCAUUUUCACUUAAGAAGUUUCUGUCCUUUUUUGUGAUGCUAUAUUCCUCUACAUGCAUACUUAGACAUUAUCUACAAUAUUAGUGUUACUGUCACUCAUUUAGGAAUUUUCAUCAUUGUCAGAGUUUUCUCAUUUUUUCAUUAUUCUUCAUAUGGACUAGUAUACAUUUUUUAUAUAUUCAUGCUGUUUUUUGCAAUAUCCAUGUGCCUGUUCAUAUGUAUAUUCAUUCCUUGUUAUGACAUUUGAUUUAUUCAAUGAGUUGUAAUAUUUGGUUAUAUGCAUGUGCAGAUUUAUCUGCUAGAUUGUUGCUACUUUUUCUAGUUUCUCUAGACUACUGAUUGGUAUUGUUAUUCAUUACCCUUGACCUAUAAUAUAGCAUCUCAAGGAUUGUUAUAUGGA
Molecule: long non-coding RNA, 840 nt
Organism: Hemicordylus capensis (graceful crag lizard)
Lineage: Eukaryota; Metazoa; Chordata; Lepidosauria; Squamata; Cordylidae
Exons: 2
Source: RefSeq, a predicted model, not a curated record